UACGAAGGGGACUAGCGUUGUUCGGAAUCACUGGGCGUAAAGAGCUCGUAGGCGGUUUGUUGCGUCGGCUGUGAAAUCCCGAGGCUCGACCUCGGGUCUGCAGUCGAUACGAGCAAACUAGAGUGUUGCAGGGGAGACUGGAAUUCCUGGUGUAGCGGUGAAAUGCGCAGAUAUCAGGAGGAACACCGGUGGCGAAGGCGGGUCUCUGGGCAGCAACUGACGCUGAGGAGCGAAAGCGUGGGGAGCGAACAGG
This 253-nucleotide ribosomal RNA is filed under the name uncultured bacterium. RNAcentral's name for it is "partial 16S ribosomal RNA". It matches the Rfam family "Bacterial small subunit ribosomal RNA", at positions 524 to 776 of the family's 1533-position model. The record is from RNAcentral.